Molecule: long non-coding RNA, 285 nt
Filed under: Lathyrus oleraceus (garden pea)
Lineage: Eukaryota; Viridiplantae; Streptophyta; Magnoliopsida; Fabales; Fabaceae
Description: Pisum sativum (pea) long non-coding RNA (PSAT_LNC015869)
Source: RNAcentral
AGGAGGGGAAAUAAUUAUGGAUAUGACACCUCCAAUCAGCGGAAGAAUAAUUAUUCAUAACCAAUCAAAGACCGAUGGACCUUCAAACCUCAUAAAAGGCAUAUGGAAAACUACAAACCGUUAAAUACCAGGAGAGAGCAAAUAUGGAUAAAAAAAAUGUUGCUUAACAAGGAUAUUCUUGAACGUACAACCCCCUAAAUGGAAGGUAAUGGGAAACAAAUCCAUCAGGUGAUACAAAUACCAAAAGAUUAAGGGUCACCAUAAAAAUGACUGGCAUCAACAUAA